CUAUGCUUGCUGCGUCACGGUCCUUCGCGAGACGAUCGCGCGGGCUAAGAGGGAAUCCGGUGCGUCCGCUCAGGCGGGCAAGGCCGGAGCUGCCCCCGCAACUGUCGGCGGUGAGCCGGUGCUCCACCAUGGUCACUGCAUCGUCCGGGCAACCCGGGCGGUGCGGGAAGACGGGGCACCGGUGAUGACCCGCGAGCCAGGAGACCUGCCGUGGCGCGAGAAGAACC
This 227-nucleotide non-coding RNA is filed under the name Prosthecodimorpha hirschii. Lineage: Bacteria; Pseudomonadati; Pseudomonadota; Alphaproteobacteria; Hyphomicrobiales; Ancalomicrobiaceae. The record is from RNAcentral.